UGUGGGAGCGAGCCUGCUCGCGAAAGCGGUCUGUCAGACACAUCAAUGUUGACUGACACCCCGUAAUCGCGAGCAGGCUCGCUCCCACA
Molecule: unclassified non-coding RNA, 89 nt
Filed under: Pseudomonas sp. B10
Lineage: Bacteria; Pseudomonadati; Pseudomonadota; Gammaproteobacteria; Pseudomonadales; Pseudomonadaceae
Source: RNAcentral